UUAAACAGCCUACCGUCAGGGACCCUGGCGGUAGGGUCCUGGAUAAGGUUGUGAGGGGUGGGGGAGGGGGUUGUGCUCCCCCACCCACUCAUUCACCCCCAUUCCCCAUUCUCACUCUUUCGAGCUAAAGGCCUCUUCUCCUCACACAAGGCAUCUCAAAUCUCACUCAUUUGCUUGAGAUUUUCCGGUGGAUCCAGAGAACUUUCAUCACCCAAGGUACCUCCCUCAUUCCCCUUCAUUUGGUUGGUUGGAAUCAUGUAUUUUGCUCAUUUUGUUGCAAUCCCUAGUUCAUGGUUUUGUUGUGGUGAAAUCAAUGUAUAUGAUGCAUUUAGGGUAAUGUUUGUGCUUUGACAAUGUACAGACGUGCUCUCGCAAGGCAAAUUGCAUUGUGCGGAACAACGGAUGAAGUGCAUGAGAUGGACUACCCUGGCCAGAUCAUUGACUGGCUAGUUAGGCAACCAUCAUCGGCGAUAGCUAGUCGAGCUUCUCGUUGGGCUUGGGUCCGUGAAAGAAAUGAUGUCAUUUGUCGCAACCUGGGGACGUAGUGUCAUUUGGACUAUAAUGGCAUGUACCCUUACCAUUUAUGUAACCUAUGGCAUUUGAACUUCUACUUAUGUUAUGUAAGCUAUGUCAUUUGAAUUCGUUCUUAUGUUAUGUACCUUAUGUCAUUUGGACCCAUGAGAAGUUUGUGUCUUAGGUCAUUCUAAAUAAGCUAUGUUUUGUGUUUGUCUUAUAUCAUUCGAUUUAAGUUUUGUUUUGUUCAAUUUCCUAUAGCAUGG
Molecule: long non-coding RNA, 779 nt
Filed under: Triticum aestivum (bread wheat)
Lineage: Eukaryota; Viridiplantae; Streptophyta; Magnoliopsida; Poales; Poaceae
Description: long non-coding RNA (TAES_LNC027180)
Source: RNAcentral